This 156-nucleotide long non-coding RNA is filed under the name Capra hircus (goat). RNAcentral describes it as "lncRNA (ENSCHIG00010014222.1)". The record is from RNAcentral. Lineage: Eukaryota; Metazoa; Chordata; Mammalia; Artiodactyla; Bovidae.
UGAGUCACAGAACCCAGGGAGCCAAUUGCACAGGCGGCAGAGAGCGUCCCGGGGUCAGAGGAAGGCGGAGGAGAGGCCGCGGACCGGAGGGGCUCGGCUGUGAGUGAGAAGAUGUAGAGGAACCACAGGCAGGCGAUCGGCCCAGACGCGCGGCUG